This 1221-nucleotide ribosomal RNA is filed under the name metagenome. Its description in RNAcentral is "bacterial SSU rRNA". It matches the Rfam family "Bacterial small subunit ribosomal RNA", at positions 114 to 1316 of the family's 1533-position model. The record is from RNAcentral.
CACGUAGAUAAUCUACCUUCAAGCCUGGAAUAACUGUUCGAAAGGGCAGCUAAUACCGGAUAAAGUUGUUUGACACAAGUUGAACAAUGAAAGAUUGCCUCUUCUUGAAAGCAAUUGUUUGGAGAUGAGUUUGCGGACCAUUAGCUAGUUGGUGGGGUAAAGGCCUACCAAGGCUGCGAUGGUUAGCUGGUCUGAGAGGAUGAUCAGUCACACUGGAACUGGAACACGGUCCAGACUCCUACGGGAGGCAGCAGUGAGGAAUUUUGCGCAAUGGGGGAAACCCUGACGCAGCAACGCCGCGUGAGUGAAGAAGGCCCUUGGGUCGUAAAGCUCUGUCAACUGGGAAGAAGUUACAAUUGUUCAAUAGGCAGUUGUAUUGACGGUACCAGUGGAGGAAGCGCCGGCUAACUCCGUGCCAGCAGCCGCGGUAACACGGGGGGCGCAAGCGUUAUUCGGAAUUAUUGGGCGUAAAGGGCGCGUAGGCGGUCUUGUCGGUCAGAUGCGAAAGCCCAGGGCUCAACCCUGGACGUGCAUUUGAAGCAGCAAGACUUGAGUACGGGAGAGGAGAGCGGAAUUCCUGGUGUAGAGGUGAAAUUCGUAGAUAUCAGGAGGAACACCGAUGGCGAAGGCAGCUCUCUGGACCGAUACUGACGCUGAGGCGCGAAGGCGUGGGUAGCGAACAGGAUUAGAUACCCUGGUAGUCCACGCAGUAAACGAUGUUCACUAGGUGUAGCGGGUAUUAAAACUUGCUGUGCCGCAGCUAACGCAUUAAGUGAACCGCCUGGGGAGUACGGUCGCAAGACUAAAACUCAAAGGAAUUGACGGGGGCCCGCACAAGCGGUGGAGCAUGUGGUUUAAUUCGACAACGCGAAGAACCUUACCUGGGUUCGACAUCCUGUGAAUAUCUUAGAGAUAAGAUAGUGCCUUCGGGAGCACAGAGACAGGUGCUGCAUGGCUGUCGUCAGCUCGUGUCGUGAGAUGUUUGGUUAGUCCAGCAACGAGCGCAACCCUUAUCGUUAGUUGCCAGCACGUAAUGGUGGGAACUCUAGCGAGACUGCCCGGGUUAACCGGGAGGAAGGCGGGGAUGACGUCAAGUCCUCAUGGCCCUUAUGUCCAGGGCUACACACGUGCUACAAUGGUAAAUACAAAGGGCAGCGAGCGCGCGAGCGUGAGCGAAUCCCAAAAACCGGCCCCAGUUCGGAUUGGAGUCUGCAACUCGAC